AAGUAAUAUUCCAUCUCAUAUAUAUAUAUAUAUAUGAGAUGGAAUAUUACUU
RNAcentral lists this microRNA precursor (52 nucleotides) under Marmota monax (woodchuck). Lineage: Eukaryota; Metazoa; Chordata; Mammalia; Rodentia; Sciuridae. The record is from RNAcentral.